GCUUCCAUAGCUCAGUUGGUUAGAGCUUCGUACUAAUACUACUACUUGCUAGUGUUGGUGAUGCGAAGGUCGCAGGUUCAAGCCCUGCUGGGAGCA
Molecule: non-coding RNA, 96 nt
Organism: Ilyonectria destructans
Lineage: Eukaryota; Fungi; Ascomycota; Sordariomycetes; Hypocreales; Nectriaceae
Source: the annotation of a GenBank genome assembly